ACUCCUACGGGAGGCAGCAGUAGGGAAUAUUGGUCAAUGGAUGCAAGUCUGAACCAGCCAUGCCGCGUGCAGGAAGAAGGCCUUCUGGGUUGUAAACUGCUUUUGCCAGGGGAUAAAAAUCUCAUGCGUGAGAAAUUGAAGGUACCUGGUGAAUAAGCCACGGCUAACUACGUGCCAGCAGCCGCGGUAAUACA
RNAcentral lists this ribosomal RNA (194 nucleotides) under uncultured bacterium. RNAcentral's name for it is "partial 16S ribosomal RNA". It matches the Rfam family "Bacterial small subunit ribosomal RNA", at positions 335 to 527 of the family's 1533-position model. The record is from RNAcentral.